UCGGGAAUAUUGCGCAAUGGAGGAAACUCUGACGCAGUGACGCCGCGUAUAGGAAGAAGGUUUUCGGAUUGUAAACUAUUUUAGUCAGGGAAGAAAAUAGACAGUACCUGAAGAAUAAGCUCCGGCUAACUACGUGCCAGCAGCCGCGGUAAUACGUAGGGAGCAAGCGUUAUCCGGAUUUAUUGGGUGUAAAGGGUGCGUAGACGGGAUAACAAGUUGGUUGUGAAAGCCCUCGGCUCAACUGAGGAACUGCAACCAAAACUAUUAUUCUUGAGUGCGGGAGAGGAAAGUGGAAUUCCUAGUGUAGCGGUGAAAUGCGUAGAUAUUAGGAGGAACACCAGUGGCGAAGGCGACUUUCUGGACCGUAACUGACGUUG
This 377-nucleotide ribosomal RNA is filed under the name uncultured Acetivibrio sp. RNAcentral describes it as "bacterial SSU rRNA". It matches the Rfam family "Bacterial small subunit ribosomal RNA", at positions 355 to 748 of the family's 1533-position model. Lineage: Bacteria; Bacillati; Bacillota; Clostridia; Acetivibrionales; Acetivibrionaceae. The record is from RNAcentral.